Molecule: transfer RNA, 69 nt
Filed under: Loxodonta africana (African savanna elephant)
Lineage: Eukaryota; Metazoa; Chordata; Mammalia; Proboscidea; Elephantidae
Rfam family: tRNA
About the family: Transfer RNA (tRNA) molecules are approximately 80 nucleotides in length. Their secondary structure includes four short double-helical elements and three loops (D, anti-codon, and T loops).
Source: Rfam by way of RNAcentral
UGCUGGCACAGUGGUUAAAGCACUCGACUGCUAACCGAAAGGUCGGUGGUUCGAAACCACCAGCAGCAA